UUUGUUUAUUUUUUAUAUUAUAUCUUAUUUAAUUUAGGUAUUCUAAAUUAUUUGAGUUUUAUUUUAGAUAUUAUAUUAUAUUAUUUUGUUUUUGUUAGAUGUAAUUUCAUUUUCAACGCUUAGUAUAGUCUUCUAGCUUAGCCUACGUUGCAUUUUAGUUUUAGUGUAUAUAAACAAUUGUGUAACAGUUAUUCAUAAUCAAUCCAUAACAAAAUUUUGGAAUUAUUUUCUGUUAGAGUUUGUUAGAACCCCU
RNAcentral lists this long non-coding RNA (253 nucleotides) under Lathyrus oleraceus (garden pea). Its description in RNAcentral is "Pisum sativum (pea) long non-coding RNA (PSAT_LNC028598)". The record is from RNAcentral. Lineage: Eukaryota; Viridiplantae; Streptophyta; Magnoliopsida; Fabales; Fabaceae.